UACGUAGGGUGCGAGCGUUGUCCGGAAUUAUUGGGCGUAAAGGGCUCGUAGGCGGUUUGUCGCGUCGGGAGUGAAAUCCACUGGCUUAACUGGUGGCUUGCUUUCGAUACGGGCAGACUGGAGGUAUGCAGGGGAGAACGGAAUUCCUGGUGUAGCGGUGAAAUGCGCAGAUAUCAGGAGGAACACCGAUGGCGAAGGCAGGUCUCUGGGCCACUACUGACGCUGAGAGCGAAAGCAUGGGGAGCGAACAGG
This 252-nucleotide ribosomal RNA is filed under the name uncultured bacterium. RNAcentral describes it as "partial 16S ribosomal RNA". It matches the Rfam family "Bacterial small subunit ribosomal RNA", at positions 524 to 776 of the family's 1533-position model. The record is from RNAcentral.